GACGAACGCUGGCGGCGUGCUUAACACAUGCAAGUCGAACGGAAAGGCCCAGCUUGCUGGGUGCUCGAGUGGCGAACGGGUGAGUAACACGUGGGUGAUCUGCCCCUAACUUCGGGAUAAGCUUGGGAAACUGGGUCUAAUACCGGAUAGGACAAUCGUUUAGUGUCGGUUGUGGAAAGUUUUUGCGGUUAGGGAUGAGCCCGCGGCCUAUCAGCUUGUUGGUGGGGUAAUGGCCUACCAAGGCGUCGACGGGUAGCCGGCCUGAGAGGGUGGACGGCCACAUUGGGACUGAGAUACGGACCAGAAUCCUACGGGAGGCAGCAGUGGGGAAUAUUGCACAAUGGGCGCAAGCCUGAUGCAGCGACGCCGCGUGGGGGAUGACGGCCUUCGGGUUGUAAACCUCUUUCGACAGGGACGAAGCUUUGGUGACGGUACCUGUAUAAGAAGCACCGGCUAACUACGUG
RNAcentral lists this ribosomal RNA (464 nucleotides) under uncultured bacterium. Its description in RNAcentral is "partial 16S ribosomal RNA". It matches the Rfam family "Bacterial small subunit ribosomal RNA", at positions 28 to 507 of the family's 1533-position model. The record is from RNAcentral.